This 843-nucleotide long non-coding RNA is filed under the name Mytilus galloprovincialis (Mediterranean mussel). Lineage: Eukaryota; Metazoa; Mollusca; Bivalvia; Mytilida; Mytilidae. The record is from RNAcentral.
CGCGAUGCAAUCAUGAAUCUUUAUUGAAACACAAUUAACCUUACUGAAAGACGUCAUUUAUACCUGAACAAUAAGCUAGAAAACAUCAACAUAGAGGUGGCUCGUAUUGUAAGGGAGGUCACAUACUGUAUUCGAAAUCAAAUUUUAUUGUGAUACUGGCUUGGUAUCCCUAAAUGAAAGAUGAUCAAGACAUAGCUAUAUCAAAUUUCUGGAAUUGAUUCAUGAUCAAAUUCUGAUUAUCUGUGGAUUCUGGCACACCCCUAUUUGCAUGGUACUAAACAGGACCAUAAAUAAACUAAUUCUGGAUGCAAAAAUAGAAAACAAUCUGAUUAUGUAUGCCCAUCGAUUUGAUGAGGAAUUACUAUUCUAACGAUUCAUCCUUGUCAUUCAAUGAUUAAUUUAACCCCCAAGGGUGACUGCGGAAUCGAAAUAUUGUCUUCUUCCGACCGACAGUAAAACGCUUGCUUAAGUGGGCCGUCCGUUUAGCUGUGCGGGAUGUAUCAAGUUUGCAGCCAUGUCCGGUCAGAAUGGGGACGUAAAAUCCAAUGCCUCAUGUAAAGAGAGUGCCACGCUUUUUGCACGUUAAGAACCCUUGCAACAACUCUUUGAGGGGUCCGUAGAUGGCCUAUUGCAAGGCAAAAUAUCUGUCCAUAUCAAAUAUACUCUCAUUUUCCAGUGGCAGUCCAAAUUUCCCCGACCAUCAUCCCGGAUGGCCUCUAUUACAAGACAUACCAAUCAAUCAAUCAAUCAAUCAAUCAAUCAAUCAAUCAAUCAAUCAAUCAAUCAAUCAAUAACCAAUUUACAUUGGCUAAAUGCCCGUUAGAUCUCUUCAAAUAUUUACAC